Molecule: long non-coding RNA, 375 nt
Organism: Pelobates fuscus (common spadefoot toad)
Lineage: Eukaryota; Metazoa; Chordata; Amphibia; Anura; Pelobatidae
Exons: 3
Source: RefSeq, a predicted model, not a curated record
GGAGGAUAGUCCCAUUGUUUACAUCAUUCUUACUCUGUGUGUUGCAGGAGAGGAUCUCCCCAAUGUGUCUGGGCUUCAGAAUCUAACCUGUUAUUUGUAAUUCUGCUGACACAAAGUAUAGCGUUUUUCGGUGAUGGUAGGACCCAUUUAACAGCACUGCUUGGUUAUGACGGAGAAGAUGGCUGGAUUGGAGUGACCGGUGUUGUCUUCACUUAAUGAGUUGAAUCUACUAUCAACACUCACUGUUGACCGACGACACUUUUUUUUUUUCUUUUCUCGCAGACCACAUCUGUUUGAGACAAAGAACUAAGUGGGGUAGGCAACUUUUGGCAUUCCAGAUGUUGUAGACUACAUAUGCCAUAAUGCUGACAAAGC